UUAGCCCUUUCCUUUCAUCACCUUUCAUUUCUCUUUCUUUUUUCUCCGGUUAUAAACAGUGCUGCGGUGAGGAUCCCUGCCGUCCACACGGGAGAGAUGCCGAUGCCGUCCAGCGGAAGAUCACUGGGGCACACCUGGCGUGGAACUGUAAGAUGUUUUGGGAUAAAGAAUGAAGAAAACACUCUGGAACAGGAGGUUUGUGGGGACAGAAGGGAGGGACAGCUGAGUGGACGUUAGCAAAUGGUUAGCUAUGAAGAGGAUGGGAUGUGUUCUGUGGCCCUGUGUCCACCUGAGAUGUGAGAAUCACAUUUCACGCGAGGCCCGCCCACCUCUCGCCAAGAAGUAAUAAACAUUACCCCCCCCCCGCCCCCGCCGCA
This is a long non-coding RNA of Bos indicus x Bos taurus (hybrid cattle), 377 nucleotides long. The record is from Ensembl. Lineage: Eukaryota; Metazoa; Chordata; Mammalia; Artiodactyla; Bovidae.